Molecule: unclassified non-coding RNA, 392 nt
Filed under: soil metagenome
Description: partial contains 5.8S ribosomal RNA, internal transcribed spacer 2, and large subunit ribosomal RNA
Rfam family: 5.8S ribosomal RNA (bases 1-122)
Source: RNAcentral
GAUGAAGAACGCAGCGAAAUGCGAUACUUGGUGUGAAUUGCAGAAUCCCGUGAACCAUCGAGUCUUUGAACGCAAGUUGCGCCCGAAGCCAUUAGGCCGAGGGCACGCCUGCCUGGGCGUCACACGUCGUUGCCCCCCCCAUCUACUCCUUCGGGAUUGCGGGGGGCGGAUGAUGGCCUCCUGUGUGUCUCGCCGCGCGGUUGGCAUAAAUGCCAAGUCCUCGGCGACGCACGCCACGACAAUCGGUGGUUGCGAAACCUCGGUUGCCCGUCGUGUGCGGUCGUCGCGCAUCGAGGGCUCGAAAAAAUUGCCGGGUUCCGGCUCGGCUUUCAACGCGACCCCAGGUCAGGCGGGGUUACCCGCUGAAUUUAAGCAUAUCAAUAAGCGGAGGA